RNAcentral lists this ribosomal RNA (460 nucleotides) under uncultured bacterium. RNAcentral describes it as "partial 16S ribosomal RNA". It matches the Rfam family "Bacterial small subunit ribosomal RNA", at positions 338 to 795 of the family's 1533-position model. The record is from RNAcentral.
CCUACGGGAUGCAGCAGUGAGGAAUAUUGGUCAAUGGACGAGAGUCUGAACCAGCCAAGUAGCGUGAAGGAUGACUGCCCUAUGGGUUGUACACUUCUUUUAUAAAGGAAUAAAACGAGGCACGUGUGCCUUUUUGCAUGUACUUUAUGAAUAAGGAUCGGCUAACUCCGUGCCAGCAGCCUCGGUAAUACGGCGGAUGCUAGCGUUAUCCGGAUUUAUUGGGUUUAAAGGGAGCGUAGAUGGGUUGUUAAGUCAGUUGUGACAGUUUGCGGCUCAACCGUAAAAUUGCAAUUGAUACUGGCAGUCGUGAGUACAGGUGAGGUAGGCGGAAUUCGUGGUGUAGCGGUGAAAUGCUUAGAUAGCACGAAGAACUCCGAUUGCGAAGGCAGCUUACUAAACUGCCACUGACAGUGAGGCUCGAAAGUGUGGGGAUCAAACAGGAUGAGAUACCCGAGUAGUC